UACGAAGGGGGCUAGCGUUGUUCGGAAUCACUGGGCGUAAAGCGCACGCAGGCGGAUUGAUAAGUCAGGGGUGAAAUCCCGGAGCUCAACUUCGGAAUUGCCUUUGAUACUGUCUGUCUUGAGUCCGGGAGAGGUGAGUGGAAUUCCUAGUGUAGAGGUGAAAUUCGUAGAUAUUAGGAAGAACACCAGUGGCGAAGGCGGCUCACUGGCCCGGUACUGACGCUCAUGCGCGAAAGCGUGGGGAGCAAACAGG
RNAcentral lists this ribosomal RNA (253 nucleotides) under uncultured bacterium. RNAcentral describes it as "partial 16S ribosomal RNA". It matches the Rfam family "Bacterial small subunit ribosomal RNA", at positions 524 to 776 of the family's 1533-position model. The record is from RNAcentral.